UAGGGAAUCUUCCACAAUGGGCGAAAGCCUGAUGGAGCAACGCUGCGUGUGUGAUGAAGGGUUUCGGCUCGUAAAACACUGUUGUAAGAGAAGAAUGACAUUGAGAGUAACUGUUCAAUGUGUGACGGUAUCUUACCAGAAAGGAACGGCUAAAUACGCGCCAG
This 164-nucleotide ribosomal RNA is filed under the name uncultured bacterium. Its description in RNAcentral is "partial 16S rRNA". It matches the Rfam family "Bacterial small subunit ribosomal RNA", at positions 355 to 511 of the family's 1533-position model. The record is from RNAcentral.